UACGGAGGGGGCAAGCGUUGUUCGGAAUUACUGGGCGUAAAGGGCGCGCAGGCGGCUGCUCAAGUCAGGCGUGAAAGGCCUGGGCUCAACCCGGGAAUUGCGCUUGAGACUGGGCUGGCUUGAGUGCGGGAGAGGAUGGUGGAAUUCCCAGUGUAGAGGUGAAAUGCGUAGAUAUUGGGAAGAACACCGGUGGCGAAGGCGGCCAUCUGGACCGCAACUGACGCUGAGGCGCGAAAGCGUGGGGAGCAAACAGG
Molecule: ribosomal RNA, 254 nt
Filed under: uncultured bacterium
Lineage: Bacteria
Description: partial 16S ribosomal RNA
Rfam family: Bacterial small subunit ribosomal RNA
Source: RNAcentral